This 512-nucleotide ribosomal RNA is filed under the name uncultured bacterium. RNAcentral's name for it is "partial 16S ribosomal RNA". It matches the Rfam family "Bacterial small subunit ribosomal RNA", at positions 28 to 507 of the family's 1533-position model. The record is from RNAcentral.
GAUGAACGCUGGCGGCGUGCCUAAUACAUGCAAGUCGAACGAAACUUCUUUAUCACCGAGUGCUUGCACUCACCGAUAAAGAGUUGAUUGGCGAACGGGUGAGUAACACGUGGGCAACCUGCCCAAAAGAGGGGGAUAACACUUGGAAACAGGUGCUAAUACCGCAUAACCAUAGUUACCUCAUGGUAACUAUUUAUAAGGUAGCUAUACUCCCGCUUUUGGAUGGGCCCGCGGCGCAUUAGCUAGUUGGUAGGGUAAAGGCUUACCAAGGCAAUGAUGCGUAGCCGAAUUGAGAGGUUGAUCGGACAAAUUGGGACUGAGACACGGCCCAAACUCCUACGGGAGGCAGCAGUAGGGAAUCUUCCACAAUGGGCGAAAGCCUGAUGGAGCAACGACGCGUGGGUGAAGAAGGUCUUCGGAUCGUAAAACCCUGUUGUUAGAGAAGAAAGUGCGUGAGAGUAACUGUUCACGUUUCGACGGUAUCUAACCAGAAAGCCACGGCUAACUACGUG